RNAcentral lists this ribosomal RNA (609 nucleotides) under Shigella flexneri. Its description in RNAcentral is "partial 23S ribosomal RNA". It matches the Rfam family "Bacterial large subunit ribosomal RNA", at positions 603 to 1213 of the family's 2925-position model. The record is from RNAcentral. Lineage: Bacteria; Pseudomonadati; Pseudomonadota; Gammaproteobacteria; Enterobacterales; Enterobacteriaceae.
ACCUUUUGUAUAAUGGGUCAGCGACUUAUAUUCUGUAGCAAGGUUAACCGAAUAGGGGAGCCGAAGGGAAACCGAGUCUUAACUGGGCGUUAAGUUGCAGGGUAUAGACCCGAAACCCGGUGAUCUAGCCAUGGGCAGGUUGAAGGUUGGGUAACACUAACUGGAGGACCGAACCGACUAAUGUUGAAAAAUUAGCGGAUGACUUGUGGCUGGGGGUGAAAGGCCAAUCAAACCGGGAGAUAGCUGGUUCUCCCCGAAAGCUAUUUAGGUAGCGCCUCGUGAAUUCAUCUCCGGGGGUAGAGCACUGUUUCGGCAAGGGGGUCAUCCCGACUUACCAACCCGAUGCAAACUGCGAAUACCGGAGAAUGUUAUCACGGGAGACACACGGCGGGUGCUAACGUCCGUCGUGAAGAGGGAAACAACCCAGACCGCCAGCUAAGGUCCCAAAGUCAUGGUUAAGUGGGAAACGAUGUGGGAAGGCCCAGACAGCCAGGAUGUUGGCUUAGAAGCAGCCAUCAUUUAAAGAAAGCGUAAUAGCUCACUGGUCGAGUCGGCCUGCGCGGAAGAUGUAACGGGGCUAAACCAUGCACCGAAGCUGCGGCAGCGACG